AUUGUUUCUUAGCCUUUUUGGCUAAAAUCAAGUGGCUAAAAUCAAGUGUAGUGUCAGUUUAAUAUCCAAAGAGAGUAUGUUACAUGGAUUUUUGGAGCUAAGCGAUAGAAAAGGAACAGUUUCUGUCUGCUCCAUGCAUCGACCUGGUAUCGAAGUUCCUCCAGGAACUGUGUGCCGCCU
RNAcentral lists this small nuclear RNA (180 nucleotides) under Neotoma lepida (desert woodrat). Its description in RNAcentral is "U2 spliceosomal RNA". It matches the Rfam family "U2 spliceosomal RNA". From Rfam's summary of the family: U2 is a small nuclear RNA (snRNA) component of the spliceosome (involved in pre-mRNA splicing). Complementary binding between U2 snRNA (in an area lying towards the 5' end but 3' to hairpin I) and the branchpoint sequence (BPS) of the intron results the bulging out of an unpaired adenosine, on the BPS, which initiates a nucleophilic attack at the intronic 5' splice site, thus starting the first of two transesterification reactions that mediate splicing. The record is from Rfam by way of RNAcentral. Lineage: Eukaryota; Metazoa; Chordata; Mammalia; Rodentia; Cricetidae.